This is a long non-coding RNA of Lotus japonicus, 2659 nucleotides long. RefSeq lists it as uncharacterized. The record is from RefSeq and is a predicted model, not a curated record. The transcript is spliced from 8 exons. Lineage: Eukaryota; Viridiplantae; Streptophyta; Magnoliopsida; Fabales; Fabaceae.
ACUCUCUCUUCUGUCUCUCCCCUCUCUCUCUCUUUCUCUCUCUCUCUCUCUCACUGCUCUUGGGCUUCACUGCUUCAAAUCUCUUGCAGUGCAACAAAGUGCUUCCUCAAAACUUCAACAUUCUCACUCAAUCCAUUCCCUCUCUCUGAAGCUCUAGUUCACGUGCCAUGGCUGCAAACGCCCAUAUCACCAUGAAAGUGAGCUUAUCGCUCGGAAGCUGUUGGAAACUUGGAAUCAACCCGCAAUUCAUUACAUUUACUCAUGUGACUAUGGAAUCAGAUAAUUAUUAAUUACAUAUGUAUCAGGGAAAUCAGAAAUGGCACCCCAUAAGAGUGUUGUUACUUGUUACUCGUUGUCAUUGAUAUGAGCAUGCCAAUUCAGCAUUUGAGACGGCCCGUAACUUCUGAUUCUGUUUUGGUGAACCCGAAUUCCAGAAUUCUUGGCCUUAUAGGUAACAUUGCAGGCUCUGAUUUGUGUUAGUAGCUCCCAGUGGCAGCUGAUGUACUAUGGUUAUGUGGUUUUGGCAAGAACCAAAAUGAUGGUGUAGUGAUGUCCCAAUCCGUAAGUCAUUUGUGGGCAUUUAUGAUGGUUAAGGAACAUUUAAGGUCAUGUUAUUGUCAUAGUGAAUGAUUUUGGAGAACUGCAGCAUGUGUACCUAUGGGUUUUGUUCUCUCAUGAAUGUGAGGUUGAGGUUGAGGUUCUAUAUGCAGCUCAAGUUCCAGGGACCCCUCAGGAUCAUUUGCAAGUAUUUAACAUUGUAGCGAAAACAAAUAUGAAUUCACACCAGAUGAUCAAGAAGGUGCAGAUUUGUAAAUCAUUUAGGCCUGUCCAAGGUUUUAAAUUGUGGUUUGUGGCCUUGUUGUAGGUUGAUGUGGGCGAGUUGGAGCUGACGCUGUCCACUAUCACUGCUUGGGGAAAUUGCAGUAGCCACCACAACUGAGAUGUUGUAGCCAGCUCUCCACAUCAUGUGAUGCAGUCAGCAGUUUAAAACCUUGGAUAUGGCCUUAUUGUCUUUUGGAGGUGGAUAACUCGAAACACAAUAGGCAUUGUCACUCAGACGCUGUGUAUCAUUGGUCAGUUGAAGGUGAUAGUGUGCCGGUGAAGAUGUUUGGCCGAACAGCUAAUCUGGCAGAUAACCAGAUUAUCAAUUAUCGUUGUGAUCCUAUUGAAAAGGGCUGGUUUUGAUUGGAGUUGCCCCUGGUUCACCUGAGCUAUGAAGCAUGAAUAUGUCUACUUCUUGAAGUAUUGGAGUAUCGGUCACGCAUUUGAUGUUGGCACCUGUAUGAUACGUGUUUGACACUUCUCAUUAGGUGUCCAAUUAAGGAGGCAGAGCUUAUGACUGGAAAUCAAAAUUUUAUGAUGCUGAAAAGACAAAGAACUUUGGAAUGGAGGCCAAAGUUCCAGAUGCAGGGCCAUUGAUUAAUGUCAAUCCAGGAAAUGCUCCUCUAAUUGUGGGGCAACUGUUAGAUGAUGAUUUCCCUGAAGAUUUCAUUAAGGGUCUUAUACUUUCAGUUCAUUCUCUUCUUCUAGUUGACCUUUUGUUGAAGAAUGUGAGAAGAGGAAUCGUCUCUGCUUGUUACUCAGUUCCUGGAGCAUCCUGUAAGUGAGGGAAGCCAAGAUGUGCAUGAUCCCAAACAUUUUCUGACAACCAACCCAUACUAUGAUUCUUGAGUUGUUAAAUAUUGUGAGAAAUGGGAUCCUACACUUGCCGUUGUUGCUUACUAAAGGGGGCUAUGUGAUGAUGAGCUUGUUAACAUUACCAAUAAAAUUCCUUGUUCAAACUCCAAGGCAGAUAUGUGUGGAACGGGUGGACGCUGACCUCUGGGAGAAAGUCCUAACUCCUGAGAAUGAGUUCCGAAGGCAAUUGAUUGAUCAAGUGGUGUCCACUGCUUUACCUGAAAGCAAGAGUCCAGAUCAGAUUUCAGCGGCAGUGAAAGCGUUCAGGACUGCUGAUCUUCCCCAUGAGUUGAUUGAACUUCUUGAAAAGUUUGUGCUACAAAACUAUGUUAUAGCGGAAACUUUAAACUGCAAAAUUUGCUGAUCCUUACUGCAAUGAAGGCAGAUCCACCAAGAGUUAUGGAUUACAUAAGUAGGCUGGACAUUUCUUAUGGUCCUGCUAUUGGGGAGGUGGCAGUGGAAGAACUGCUAUAUGAAGAAGCUUUUUCCAUUUUCAAGAAAUUUAAUUUGAAUGUUCAGGCUGUUAAUGUGCUUUUAGAUAACCUUCGGACCAUUGAUUGAGCUGUGGAGUCUGGGAUUCGAGUUGAAGAAGAUGCGGUGUGGAGCCAGGUGGCUAAGGAACAACUAAGAGAAGGCUUAGUAUGUGACACAAUUGAGUCAUUCUUCCGUGCAGAUGAUGCCACUCACUUCUCACUCACUUCUUAGAGGAUUUAAGGGCUUCUGAAGAUUCAGAUGUGUACCAUGACCAAGUAAGGUACCUUCUCAUAUUUAGGCAGAAGACCAAAGAGCCCAAAGUGGACAGUGAGCUCAUUUAUGCAUAUGCAAAGAUUGAUCGGCUUGGAGAAAUUGAUGAGUUUAUUUUGAUGCCAAAUGUUGCUUAUUUAUCAAAUGUUGUAGACCUCAUAUAUGAUGAGACUCUAUGUAUAAGGCUGCAAAAAUUAUAUUUGCUUUUAUUUCCAACUGCGCUAAGUUAGCAGUAACA